GUUUCUGUAGUGUAGUGGUUAUCACGUUUUCGUAACAUGCAAAAUGUCUGUGGUUCGAACCCAGAAAGAAACA
Non-coding RNA from Ataeniobius toweri, 73 nucleotides. NCBI's taxonomy places the organism in Eukaryota, Metazoa, Chordata, Actinopteri, Cyprinodontiformes, Goodeidae. The record is from the annotation of a GenBank genome assembly.